This 350-nucleotide unclassified non-coding RNA is filed under the name fungal sp. RNAcentral describes it as "partial internal transcribed spacer region". The record is from RNAcentral. Lineage: Eukaryota; Fungi.
AAGUCGUAACAAGGUUUCCGUAGGUCAACGUACGGAAGGAUCAUUAACACGUAUCCAAACGUUAAACCCCCCUCCGUGAACCUUCAUCGUGCCACUGAUAAACACAGGUAAAUCAUUGUCUGAGUCAGGACAGUGCGAGCUACACCCACGAGAGAAGCGCGAGUUCCAUCGGCAUUGUUUCCCCAAGCAGCCAGUGCGUGAAAGUGGCAACUGACUGUGCAAGGAUAACGCUCAACGAUUUUGCAGCCGCAACACGCGGGCAGAGUGCCGAUUUCACAUACAAAGCUCCAUUUUCAAUUAUGGAUGGGGUAAAACCGAACAACUGUUAACAAUGGAUAUCUUGCUUCUCG